Non-coding RNA from Podarcis lilfordi (Lilford's wall lizard), 94 nucleotides. The record is from the annotation of a GenBank genome assembly. Lineage: Eukaryota; Metazoa; Chordata; Lepidosauria; Squamata; Lacertidae.
GUAAUUAAGACUCAAGAGCAGGCCCAUUGAAAAUAAUGGACCUAAAUUAGUAAUUUCCAUUAAUUUCAAUGGGUCUGCUUUGAGUAUAACUAAC